RNAcentral lists this transfer RNA (76 nucleotides) under Deltaproteobacteria bacterium. Its description in RNAcentral is "tRNA-Ala". It matches the Rfam family "tRNA". From Rfam's summary of the family: Transfer RNA (tRNA) molecules are approximately 80 nucleotides in length. Their secondary structure includes four short double-helical elements and three loops (D, anti-codon, and T loops). The record is from RNAcentral. Lineage: Bacteria; Pseudomonadati; Myxococcota; Myxococcia. RNAcentral also lists the same sequence under 3 other names.
GGGGUUGUAGCUCAGUUGGGAGAGCACCGGCUUUGCAAGCCGGGGGUCAGGGGUUCGAGCCCCCUCAGCUCCACCA